This 472-nucleotide ribosomal RNA is filed under the name uncultured organism. RNAcentral describes it as "partial 16S ribosomal RNA". It matches the Rfam family "Bacterial small subunit ribosomal RNA", at positions 334 to 797 of the family's 1533-position model. The record is from RNAcentral.
CACUCCUACGGGAGGCAGCAGUGGGGAAUAUUGCACAAUGGGCGCAAGCCUGAUGCAGCCAUGCCGCGUGUAUGAAGAAGGCCUUCGGGUUGUAAAGUACUUUCAGCGGGGAGGAAGGCGAUAAGGUUAAUAACCUUGUCGAUUGACGUUACCCGCAGAAGAAGCACCGGCUAACUCCGUGCCAGCAGCCGCGGUAAUACGGAGGGUGCAAGCGUUAAUCGGAAUUACUGGGCGUAAAGCGCACGCAGGCGGUCUGUCAAGUCGGAUGUGAAAUCCCCGGGCUCAACCUGGGAACUGCAUUCGAAACUGGCAGGCUAGAGUCUUGUAGAGGGGGGUAGAAUUCCAGGUGUAGCGGUGAAAUGCGUAGAGAUCUGGAGGAAUACCGGUGGCGAAGGCGGCCCCCUGGACAAAGACUGACGCUCAGGUGCGAAAGCGUGGGGAGCAAACAGGAUUAGAUACCCUUGUAGUCCCA